GAUGAACGCUAGCGGGAGGCCUAACACAUGCAAGCCGAGCGGUAUUUCUUCUUCGGUAGAGAGAGAGCGGCGCACGGGUGCGUAACACGUGUGCAACCUACCUUUAUCUGGGGGAUAGCCUUUCGAAAGGAAGAUUAACACCCCAUAAUAUAUUGAAUGGCAUCAUUUGAUAUUGAAAACUCCGGUGGAUAAAGAUGGGCACGCGCAAGAUUAGAUAGUUGGUGAGGUAACGGCGCACCAAGUCAAUGAUCUUUAGGGGUCCUGAGAGGGAGAUCCCCCACACGGGUACUGAGACACGGACCAGACUCCUACGGGAGGCAGCAGUGAGGAAUAUUGGACAAUGGGUGAAAGCCUGAUCCAGCCAUCCCGCGUGAAGGAUGACGGUCCUAUGGAUUGUAAACUUCUUUUGUACAGGAAUAAACCUACUCUCGUGAGAGUAGCUGAAGGUACUGUACGAAUAAGCACCGGCUAACUCCGUGCCAGCCGCCGCCGUAA
This 495-nucleotide ribosomal RNA is filed under the name uncultured bacterium. Its description in RNAcentral is "partial 16S ribosomal RNA". It matches the Rfam family "Bacterial small subunit ribosomal RNA", at positions 28 to 523 of the family's 1533-position model. The record is from RNAcentral.